RNAcentral lists this ribosomal RNA (434 nucleotides) under uncultured bacterium. RNAcentral describes it as "partial 16S ribosomal RNA". It matches the Rfam family "Bacterial small subunit ribosomal RNA", at positions 29 to 507 of the family's 1533-position model. The record is from RNAcentral.
AGCGAACGCUGGCGGCAGGCCUAACACAUGCAAGUCGAACGAACCUUUCGGGGUUAGUGGCGGACGGGUGAGUAACACGUGGGAACGUGCCUUUAAGUUCGGAAUAACUCAGGGAAACUUGUGCUAAUACCGAAUGUGCCCUUCGGGGGAAAGAUUUAUCGCCUUUAGAGCGGCCCGCGUCUGAUUAGCUAGUUGGUUGAGGUAAUGGCUCACCAAGGCGUCGAUCAGUAGCUGGUCUGAGAGGAUGAUCAGCCACAUUGGGACUGAGACACGGCCCAAACUCCUACGGGAGGCAGCAGUGGGGAAUCUUGCGCAAUGGGCGAAAGCCUGACGCAGCCAUGCCGCGUGAAUGAUGAAGGUCUUAGGAUUGUAAAAUUCUUUCACCGGGGACGAUAAUGACGGUACCCGGAGAAGAAGCCCCGGCUAACUUCGUG